Molecule: ribosomal RNA, 253 nt
Filed under: uncultured bacterium
Lineage: Bacteria
Description: partial 16S ribosomal RNA
Rfam family: Bacterial small subunit ribosomal RNA
Source: RNAcentral
UACGUAGGAGGCAAGCGUUAUCCGAAAUGACUGGGCGUAAAGGGUGCGUAGGUGGUUUGACAAGUUGGUAGCGUAACUCCGGGGCUCAACCUCGGCACUACUACCAAAACUGUUGGACUUGAGUGCAGGAGGGGCAAAUGGAAUUCCUAGUGUAGCGGUGGAAUGCGUAGAUAUUAGGAGGAACACCAGUGGCGAAGGCGAUUUGCUGGACUGUAACUGACACUGAGGCACGAAAGCGUGGGGAGCAAACAGG